Molecule: ribosomal RNA, 517 nt
Filed under: uncultured Glomus
Lineage: Eukaryota; Fungi; Glomeromycota; Glomeromycetes; Glomerales; Glomeraceae
Description: SSU rRNA
Rfam family: Eukaryotic small subunit ribosomal RNA
Source: RNAcentral
GUAUUCCGCUCCAUAGCGUAUAUUAAAGUUGUUGCAGUUAAAAAGCUCGUAGUUGAAUUUCGGGGUUAGUAGGUUGGUCAUGCCUCUGGUAUGUACUGGUCUCACUGAUUCCUCCUUCCUGAUGAACCUUAAUGCCAUUUAUUUGGUGUUUUGGGGAAUUUGGACUGUUACUUUGAAAAAAUUAGAGUGUUUAAAGCAAGCUAACGCUUGAAUACAUUAGCAUGGAAUAAUGAAAUAGGACGUUCGAUCCUAUUUUGUUGGUUUCUAGGAUUGACGUAAUGAUUAAUAGGGAUAGUUGGGGGCAUUAGUAUUCAAUUGUCAGAGGUGAAAUUCUUGGAUUUAUUGAAGACUAACUACUGCGAAAGCAUUUGCCAAGGAUGUUUUCAUUAAUCAAGAACGAAAGUUAGGGGAUCGAAGACGAUCAGAUACCGUCGUAGUCUUAACCAUAAACUAUGCCGACUAGGAAUCGGAUGAUGUUAAUUUUUUAAUGACUCAUUCGGCACCUUACGGGAAAACA